This is a long non-coding RNA of Alnus glutinosa, 685 nucleotides long. RefSeq lists it as uncharacterized. Lineage: Eukaryota; Viridiplantae; Streptophyta; Magnoliopsida; Fagales; Betulaceae. The record is from RefSeq and is a predicted model, not a curated record. The transcript has 2 exons.
UAUAUUACUAAACUUCUUCUCCCUCUCUUCUUAAUUAUUUAUUCCUCCUUUUAUCUUUCUCUUCUUUUUCUUCUUGUUCACUCGAGUAGCAGAGAGAGAGACAGAGAUGGUGAGAGUGAGAGAGAAAAUCUGAGAGGAGAAAAACCCGUUCCUUUUCCCCUUUUCUUCCCCUUCCUCCUUCUCUUCUUUCUUCUCCCUUCUCCUUCUUGCUUGUUCUUCCUUUCCUCUUUUCUAACCAAGAGAUGCAGAGAGACAGAGCAAGAGAGUGAGAGAUCAUGGGAUUGAGAGAAAUAUGAGGGAGAGAGACUCGGGUGAGAUAAUCGAACCAAGGGAGGAACGGACCCGAUCGUGGAGGACCCAGAACCUGAAACUCGUCAAACCCGAGAGACCCAGAUCAAGUCCGCCAUGGGUCAUCACCGGUGACAGUCCUAGUAGUUUUUCCGGCAAUUCCGGUGACCUGAUGAUGCGAUUUCCGGCACAGACCCGUGAUCAUUUUUGCCCCCUUCUCGAUGGAUUUUCUGGAUAACGAGUUAAGAGACUGCGAAUAUAACAGUAAGUAUCUCUAUACUUACUGAGGACGAAGCUGGUGGGUUUUUCCAUAAUAUUGUGUUUACUGCUUUAUUUAAUUUAUUUGUGCAUGUGAAUUUACAUGUUUUAUAUUUUAAUUAAACUGAUCAAUAACAAA